CUCAGUGAAUUUGGAGCAAGGGACUCAGAUAAUAACCACAAGGUACAAGAAGUGGAGAGUGUGCCUUGGAGAUGCUGGAGUCAAAAAGAACGUCCUCCUUGGGACAGUCAGGUUGUCCCACUCCACUUCCCUCCCGAGGCUUCUCUAUCUGAGCUAUAAAGUAGCAGGUCCACUCCCCACCCCUGGCAACAGCCAGGUUCUCUUUUUCUCUGGACUUCAACUGCAUGUUUCACAGAAACAGAAGCAAUCGAUCUGUGAGCUGCACAUCUGGCUCUCUUCCUGAAGCAUGUUUUGUACAUCUGUUGACAGUGCAGCACCAAUCAGUACCGGAAUCCUUUCAUUUUUCUUACCAGCACCCCAUUGUGUGUGAACAAUGCUCUUUAUCUACUUCCUCAGGGCUGCUACGCGGGCUAGCUGGCCUGUGAACCACCCGACGGUCAUCUGUUUCUCCCUACUACCUCGAGAGAAGAGCCCUGGGUUGCAGAUGCCCUGCCACAUCUGGCUUUUCCUGGAUUCUGGAGGUCUGGAGCCAGGUCCUCAAGCUUGUCCCCCAAGGAUUUUAGCCACUGAGCCAGCUCCCCAGCACAGCCCGUCUUUUUGUCCCGGGGAGCAGUCUCCUUCCUCCAGUUAACCCAAUUCACAGCUAUAUUUGCGAACGUUCUGCAGUUGGCUUCUGCCGGGUCUACAGAUUUUAAGAUGUACAGCCACGGUGGGAAGGAAUGGAGAUCCCCCAUAAUUUUGGUCAAACUGUAAACAGAUUUUCCUUUUCCUAAUUCCUUGGGAGAUACAGGUCUUUUUUUUCCCCCUCCCGACUAUUAAUAAAAUAUGAAUAAAACACCGGACAAA
This is a non-coding RNA of Rattus norvegicus (Norway rat), 846 nucleotides long. The record is from RefSeq and is a predicted model, not a curated record. NCBI's taxonomy places the organism in Eukaryota, Metazoa, Chordata, Mammalia, Rodentia, Muridae.